ACUCACAGCUGAUUGGCUGAGUACACAUUGACUCCUCCUCCCUCAGUUCCUUAUGAAAGCUCUCUCUCCUCUCUUCAUCCUCCACUCUGUUCAUCACUCUGCUGAUCACACAGACAACAUGCUGCCCACCCUCUGUGUCCUCCUCCCUGCUCUGGCAUGGGUCAGUUCACAGAAAGUUCUGACACAGACCCCUUCAGUUCUGACGGAGCAGCAGGGCAAGACCAUCAGCAUGGACUGUAACAUCGCAAAGUAUGAAGGCAAUGGUGUUCACUGGUAUAAACAGAUUCCACAAUCAGCUCCUCAGUUUGUGUUGAGAUCUGAUUCUGGGGGCUCAGCUACUCAUCAUGGAGCUGAUUUUCCAUCUUCAAGCUUCACAUCUAAAACCUCUUCAAAAAUCAUCUAUCAGUUAAUAAUCAGUAAUGUGGAGGUAGGAGACUCUGCAGUGUAUUACUGUUAUACAUUUGAUGACUCUGCUAAUGAGUUCGUAUCACAGUGAUUGAGAUCAUGACAA
Astyanax mexicanus (Mexican tetra) is the source of this 511-nucleotide non-coding RNA. Lineage: Eukaryota; Metazoa; Chordata; Actinopteri; Characiformes; Acestrorhamphidae. The record is from the annotation of a RefSeq genome assembly.